This 1610-nucleotide long non-coding RNA is filed under the name Ananas comosus (pineapple). RNAcentral's name for it is "long non-coding RNA (ACOM_LNC026841)". Lineage: Eukaryota; Viridiplantae; Streptophyta; Magnoliopsida; Poales; Bromeliaceae. The record is from RNAcentral.
UAAAGCCGAACAGCAAACACCGAGGCUGGCGAAUAGCGGGGCUAAUUUGGUCCGGAUUCUGAUGAGAGCGAGGUUGCGUAAAGCGCAAGGGGCACAUUUAAUGCCCGCCAAGACCGUACGUUAGGGUAUACAUAUCUCACGAAAUACGCGAGCGGCGGAUGUAGACGAGGGGCAUUUUGGUCAGACGACUGAAAAUCCGGCCCGAAUCUGCAAAAUCGAAAAAGGUGGCCCACUUUUGCAAAAGCGCAAAACUCGUGGAUUUUUUAUGCAAAUUGGCCUUUAUAUUGAUCAACCAUUAAUAUUUCUAUUAAUCUAAUUAAUUAUUUUACAACUUAUCUAGCUAAAAUAAUUUACUAAUUAAUUAAAAAGUUAAAUUAUUUUUAUAAUUAAUUAAUUAAUUAAUAUAUUUUUAUUAUCUUGUACAAUAUUCAUAGCUAAUAAAUUUAUUAAUUUAUUAAAUUAUUUUUAGUAAUAUUUUGAUGUUAAUUAAUUAGAUAAAAUAAUUUUAAUUUAAAAUUAUAACUCUUAUUCCCAUUGUUCCAAUCUAAUCAUCCAAAUGCUAUUUACCUUACUCCUAAGAACAACCCAAUUUUCAUUCAAAUAUAAAAUUAGUCUAGUUCAUCAUACUUAUACCUGAACUUGUAUCUAUCCCCGCAAUAAGCAAUUCUUGCUUAUAACCAAAUCAAACGCAGCCUUAGUGCUUGUAAAUUUUUCACCGUUAAAUCUACAUUUUUGAUCAUUUUCGCUCGUUAGAUCAUACUAUUCAACCGACCAUCCACUCAACCCUAGAGGGGACCACUAUCAUCCUAACUGGGGACCACUACCAUCCUAACUGCACAUCCUUUCAUCCAACGACAAAAAACUUAUGAGUACAAAAUGGUCUAUGCUUAUAAGAGUAUAGUAGCCCUACUUUAUAUAUAGAGAGUUUGAUAAAGAGCAUGUUUGUUUCACCGAAAUUGGAAUUUAGGUUGAAGUAGACUUUGGGCUGAAGUGGAGUAUGGUGAAAACUACUACUUCUCCACUAUUUGUUUCGUAGUUAUGAAAGUGAAGUUUCAUUAGUUUUGCUGUUUGUUUGGUAAGAAGUGUAUGAUAUAAAACUAAAAUUUAUUUAUAAUUAAUAAAUAUUUUAAUAAAUAAAAAUAGUAUAAUUAUAUUUUUAUAUAAUUAAAAUUUAAUUUAAAAUAAUUAAAUUAUUUUUUUAUACAUAAAUUAUAGGAAAAACUUCAAAUACCACCCUUGUGGUUUCACACUUUCUCAUUUUAGUACCCUGUGGUUUAAAGUGUAUCAAUUUAGUGUCUUGUGGUUUCAUUUUUUUUUUUAUUAUCGAUUCCACUAAUUUUUUCCGUUAAAUCAGUGACAAAGUUAAAACUAAAAUAUACUAAAGUGAAUAUUUGAUAAACCUGGGGUAUCUGAAGUUUUUGUAUAUAAUUUAACGAAAAAUUAAUGGAGAAGCUGACGAAAAGAUAAAUAUGAAACCACGGGAAAUUAACUUGAUAUACUUUAAACCACAGGGUAUUAAAGUGAGAAAGUGCGAAACCACAGGGGUCGUAUUUGAAGUUUACCCUAAAUUAUAGUAAUACAACAAUAAAAUUAUAAAGUAAAAAAAUAUU